AGAGUUUGAUCCUGGCUCAGGAUGAACGCUAGCGGCAGGCCUAAUACAUGCAAGUCGAACGCUCAGUAGCAAUACUGGGAGUGGCGCACGGGUGCGUAACGCGUACACAAUCUACCUCUAAGCGGGGGACACCUCCUGGAAACGGGGAUUAAUACCGCAUAAUAUGCCGAGGUCGCAUGACUUUGGUAUUAAAGCAGCAAUGCACUUAGAGAUGAGUGUGCGUCCCAUUAGGUAGUUGGUGAGGUAACGGCUCACCAAGCCUAUGAUGGGUAGCCGGUCUGAGAGGAUGGUCGGCCACACGGGCACUGAGACACGGGCCCGACUCCUACGGGAGGCAGCAGUAAGGAAUAUUGGUCAAUGGUGGAAACACUGAACCAGCCAUGCCGCGUGGAGGAAUAAGGUCCUACGGAUUGUAAACUCCUUUUGACGAGGAAGAAAGUGUUAGAUUUAUCUAAUUUUGACGGUACUCGUAGAAUAAGCACCGGUUAACUCCGUG
Molecule: ribosomal RNA, 496 nt
Filed under: uncultured bacterium
Lineage: Bacteria
Description: bacterial SSU rRNA
Rfam family: Bacterial small subunit ribosomal RNA
Source: RNAcentral